Molecule: long non-coding RNA, 479 nt
Organism: Ostrea edulis (European flat oyster)
Lineage: Eukaryota; Metazoa; Mollusca; Bivalvia; Ostreida; Ostreidae
Exons: 2
Source: RefSeq, a predicted model, not a curated record
ACAUCUUCACUGUCAUGAUCGUGUGCAGGAUUGGACAAAACAAGAUGGCAGACGGCAUUUCCAAACAAAGGUAUCAAGCCCUAGAACUUCAUUCCAUGAGAUGGGUACACUUCGAAUGUGCGAAAUUGGUGGUGAGGAAUUCAAGACCAAUUCUGAAUUUCGUAGGCAUGUAAAAAGGAAACAUCAAUCAGAGAAAUUGUCUUCGUUUGUGACCAGUGCAACACACGCUUAUAAAAGAAACAUGAAGUACAAAAAAUUACAUUGUUUUCUGAAUACACGAAGUGCAUACAUAUACCAUGGCAGCCGUUUUAUAUAUCCGUCUAUGUACAUUAUGAAACGAUUAUUUUUACGGUAUUAUGUUUUGUUUUACAGAGAUACUACUAAUCUUUUACAUUGCAUUUUACACAUGCUGAUGUGUUAUUUCAUUGAACCAGAAGUGUUCUUAAUUUUUAUUUGUUAUUAAAUAUAUUUCAAUGUUA